Molecule: RNA transcript, 4030 nt
Organism: Solanum stenotomum
Lineage: Eukaryota; Viridiplantae; Streptophyta; Magnoliopsida; Solanales; Solanaceae
Exons: 14
Source: RefSeq, a predicted model, not a curated record
AUAUCACCUCAGCUUUUCUCUCUCUAUAACUCAUCAUCAUCUCAAUCGGAUCUCUCUUAGACCCGAAUAAUUUUCCGACAAAACCUAACCCUAAUUCUUCAAUGGCCAGCGAUUCCAAUGAACCUUCCCGUCGCAAACACCAUCGAUCUUCUCCUUCCGAUGAGGAUACCGGAGAACCAUUGAAACGCCGUAAGCACCGACACCAUCAUCGUCACCACCGUCACCAUCGCCAUCAUAGUAAGAAGCACCUAGAGAAAUCCGAUUCGAAAUCCGAGAAGGAAAUGGUUAAAUCAAAAAGUGAGAUUGAGAACGGAGGUAAACCAGGAGAAGAGAUUAGGAUUGGUACUGUUGUUGGUGUUUCUACAUUAGGGAUUGAUUAUGAUAUGGAGGAAGGAGAAAUCAUUGAGGAUGAUAUUGUGGAUACUGCUGCUGUUGGUGAUGCUGAUGAGAAUACCGUGGCCGAAAAAUUGGGGAAUGAAGAUGAUUUGAACAUGGAAUUGCAUGAAGCUCAAGGACAAGGGCCUGCAGACAAUGUGGAAAAAGUUGAUAGAGAUGCCACUGUUUUAGGACGGCAUGAUGAGCAAAGGCAAAGUAGAAAGGCUGAUAGUUCUAGAGAAAGAAAGUCCAGAGUCAAGCAUUCUGCCAAUGGUAGUUACAUAGAUGAAUUUCAUAAAUUGGAGUCUAAACCACAGAAAGAAGAUAGUAUCGCUGGUGAAGAAAGUACAAAACAAAAGAGCUAUCAUGAGGAUGAAAGUGAUUUACAGGAUCAAAUAAUAAAAUCCUUAACUCCUGAAAAUGUUGGGAAGAGGCAUAGAUCUGUUAGGGUAUCAUCUUCACAUUAUGAGCACCCUGAAGAGAGACAUGUUACAAAGUCAUCCAAGUCACCUGAUCGCUCCAGAGGAAGAUCACGAUCAAAAAGUGUUCUGGAGGAGUCUUUCCUUGUACCUAAGUCUCGUGAGAUAGAUGACACAUAUGAAAAGGAAAGCAGAUAUAGAAGUAACUUUGAUGAUGAAAAAAUUGGUUACAACCGGGACUAUCGACAUGGAAGCCGAGAGUCUUCAAGGGAUAGGGAAAAGGAGCAUAAUUCUUGUAACAGUAGAUCCUCUAGAGACAGGUAUUAUAACAGGGAGAGUGUUGAUAGAUUUCGGGAGAGUAUGGAGAAUGACAGGGAUAGAGUAAGAGAGAAAGACAGGGAGCGUGAGUUGGCUAGAGAAAAGCGAAGGGAGAGCGAUAAGGAGAGGCGAACGGAGAGCGAUAAGGAGAGGGAGAGGGACAGAGAGAAAGCUCGAGAUAGGGAAAGGGAUAGAGAAAGAGAAUAUGAGAGGGGGAGAGAGAGGGAGAGGGAAGAGAGAGAAAGGAGGAAUAGGGAUAGGGAAAGCAGGGGACGUAGUAGGGAGGCAGAUAGGGAUAGAAAUAGCGAUAGGUACAGCAGGCAGCAGGAUGACAGUCUUGCUUAUAAUAGACGUAAUAGACAUUAUGAGACUGACAUUGAGAGAGAAAGGACAAGCAAUCACUCUAAAACUGAGACCACAAAGCAACAUGCUGUAGAGACAGAAAGCGAGAGAUCUAAAAGAGAUAAAGUUGAGCAGGAGGAUUAUCAGGAAAAAGUUGUUUUCCAGCUUGCUGAACAGGAAGAAGAAGAUGAACUUGAUAGAAUUAAGGAGGAGAGCAGAAGGCGAAGGCAAGCUAUUCUUGAAAAAUAUAAGAUAAAGAACUCACAGAAGGAACAAGUAACUCAAUCUGGGGACGUUGUUGAGAUUCACAUGGAGCAGUCAACCCAAAAACCGGCAGCCAGACAGAAUGUUGUGCAAGAGUCUAUUGAUGCUAAAAGCAAUGGUGCAGAUGUCGAGCCAACAUUUUCUGUUGGGAAAUCACCUCUGCAGGGUGGUCAUAUUGGUGAUGUGCAGGCUUCUGGAGUUGGUGGACUGGGACAGGGUACUCCAAAGAGUGAGAGGUCGGCUGACAUGUUUUGUGACGAUAUAUUUGGAGAAUCACCUGCUGGCAUCAGGAAGAUGGGCAAAGGAGAUGGUGUAGCAGUUGAGCGCAGUGGCCUUCAUGAUAACUGGGAUGAUCCGGAAGGGUAUUAUAGUUAUCGGUUCGGAGAAAUUCUUGAUGGCCGUUAUGAGAUUGUUGCUGCUCAUGGUAAAGGAGUCUUUUCUACUGUUGUCCGCGCUAAAGAUCUCAAGGCUAGACCUGGUGACCCUGAGGAAGUAGCAAUAAAAAUGAUACGCAAUAAUGAAACAAUGUAUAAAGCAGGUAUGGAAGAGUUGGUCAUACUGAAGAAGCUAGUUGGUGCAGAUCCUGAAGACAAGCGCCACUGUGUUCGUUUUAUUUCUAGCUUCAAGUACCGGAAUCAUCUCUGUUUGGUUUUUGAGUCUCUUCAUAUGAAUCUCCGUGAGGUUUUGAAGAAGUUUGGACGUAACAUUGGACUCAAACUCACUGCUGUGAGGACGUACGCAAAGCAACUUUUCAUUGCUUUGAAGCAUUUAAAAAAUUGUGGUGUGCUUCAUUGUGAUAUUAAACCCGACAACAUGUUGGUAAAUGAAGCAAAAAAUGUGCUGAAGCUUUGUGACUUUGGUAAUGCUAUGUUUGCUGGAAAAAAUGAAAUUACUCCAUACCUCGUGAGCCGUUUUUACCGUGCCCCAGAGAUCAUUCUUGGCUUGUCGUAUGAUCAUCCGAUGGAUAUAUGGUCAGUGGGUUGCUGUUUGUUUGAGCUCUAUGCUGGGAAAGUGUUAUUUCCAGGUCCAACUAAUAAUGACAUGCUUCGUCUUCAUAUGGAAUUGAAAGGUCCAUUUCCAAAAAAGAUGCUUAGAAAGGGUGCAUUUACAGAACAACAUUUUGACCAAGAUCUCAAUUUUCUUGCCAUCGAAGAGGAUCCUGUUACAAAGAAGGCUAUAAGGAAGCUGAUUGUUAAUAUCAAGCCAAAAGAUAUCAGUUCAAUAAUUUUGGGCUCUCCAGGUGAAGACCCAAAGAUGUUGGCUCACUUCAAAGAUCUUAUGGAGAGAAUUUUUGUGUUAGAUCCAGAAAAGAGAAUGACUGUUUCCCAGGCAUUGAGCCACCCAUUCAUCACGGGCAAGUGAAUGACAACAAUGAUUUUAUGACUAGGGACAUACUGCUGCACUAGAUACUAGUGUAUUAUGAUCAUAUGAUCUUAGUUUAUUUUCAGUUCUCUAAUCAUUGGGCUUUAUAUGUCUUUAUCUACUAUCAUGGGUUAAGUGCUUCAAAGAUUGGCAUGGUUGAAGUUGCAGAGAAGAUUGCUGAUUUUGGGAGAUCUAUAUCUUGGCAGUUCUUUCAGUGCAAUGUUUUCUGUUCUAUCGAUAUCUACCAGGGCUUUGAUGCAAGAUUCAGUGAUUUAGAUGCUUAAAAGGCACCCUGGAGAAGGUACCUUGGUUUGUUUGUUAGGAAUUACUGUGACUCCCUUUUAAUGUUGUGAAUCUACUUGAUUCCUUGGACAUCAGUGAUAAUUUGCGUUUUCUUGUUCGUGUCAAUUUUUAAUUUUUCUUGACAAGUUCUGCUUUCUGAACUUUAAUUUGGUCCUGUCUGAAUAAUUGCACACUUGAGGGUGGUUUGUUAAUGAGCCUUCUUAGGUUAGAAUAGUAAAACUAUCAAGAGCUAAAGGUUCUUAUUUGGAAAUAAUUUGGAGUCAUUGUUAUUUUUUCUAUUUCUUAAUUUUUUUUCCCAAAAACACUUUCUAAUAAGUUGCAUUGCAUCUGAUCCAUGGUAUGGUCAUCCUGGAGCAAUGUAUGACUGGAGAAUGAUCAGAUGCAGCCUUGAAGGUGUGGUUCCAUGCAUCUGCAGUUCUAGUAAGUAUCCUUGAAUUUCAUUACGUCUCUGGUGUAAUAGGUGGGUAUCUUUUGAAAACCUGAUAUUCUUCUCAAUGUAUUACAUUCAAAGUUUGGUAGUCCUCCAUGGAAUUGACCUACAUGGAAUAUAAUUCAAAUUCUUAACUGGAUUUUGCUAAUAAAAUUGGCCAUUGUGGAUCAAAUCUAUCUCAAAUUUCAGUUGUCCCUUUCCUGAACACUAACUUCCC